Molecule: non-coding RNA, 770 nt
Organism: Schizosaccharomyces pombe (fission yeast)
Lineage: Eukaryota; Fungi; Ascomycota; Schizosaccharomycetes; Schizosaccharomycetales; Schizosaccharomycetaceae
Source: the annotation of a GenBank genome assembly
ACCAAGACUUUUUACACUUCAUGAUAUAAAACACUGGUUUAGUUAUUAGUAAAUUAAGAGCUUUGCAUAACAUGGUACGUGUAAGGACUUUCACUCAGCCUUCAUGAACUGUUGAGAAAACCUUAAUGCGUCUAAAAAAGAAGAUGUAUGCUCAGCAGGACCCGUUGCCUCUGCAUCAGAGUUCCACACAUCCUCAUCUUCAUUUUUCUUCCAUUCCAAAUAAUCUUCACAUUAGCAUUAAUAGUUUCAUGCAAUCAUUUAUUAUAAUUACCUAUUGCCCACUGAUCUCUUUUAUGCCUUGCUUGCUUCUGUUGCUUGCGCAAAUGAUAUAGCUUUGAUUUCAUGAGCUCUUGAACGCGAGCUUCACGAGCACUUUGUUUUGCAUCCACUGCUUGAUUUAUUGUAUUAGGAGCCGGACGAGUUUGUGCAUUUGCCUCGGAAAGCGACCGCUCUUGAGGAGUCACAUAUGAGUCAGUUCGUUCAUCAUAAUAAAGCAUAUCCGGCAAUUGACGACGCUUUCUUGUCGAUCGAGCUACAAUUCAUGAGUUAAUAAAAUCAGAAAUAAAAGAGGGAAAGGAGUUUACCGGGAAGAACUCUCUCCCCUUGCUUCUUUUGUGCAGCCAUUAACGGUGAGAGGAAAGUAAUGAUAGAGCAUAGACACCUACGAGCGACAUACUUAAUUUGAAUUGACUACUUUACUGAGACACAACAACAGGCUCUUUAAAAUCAAGAACUCGUACUGUUUCGUAAUAUCCUACACUCUACUAUAG